UUGAGGCGUCACAGCACACAUUAGUUUUUGUUCUAAAUUGCAUUAUCACUAUUUACAUUGCAUGUCAAACAAGGCGCAGCUAAUUUUUGCUUAAACAUGAGCAUAUACUCAACUUGCUACAUUCAAAUGAUGAUCUAUAUAUUUUUGUGUAAGAAUUCAUGUGCUACUUUUUUCUUGCAGAGUGAUGCCUUGAAGCUAGAUGUUAUCUGGUCUACAUCUAUUUUCCAGAUUAUCCCAAGCUAUUGGUUUUAUCCUCGAACUUGACUUAGCAUUAAUUCAGUUGGAAGAACAAAAUGGCCAGGGACAAACAAUAUAAAGGUUCUGUUGUGCUUUCUUAGCUGACUAAAAUUCUGGAAAACUAGAGUGUAUAAUCUACAGAACCUGUCUCUCUAAGAGGACCAAGCUUCCCGAACAAUAGCGGCUAUCCUUUUGAUGAUAACACAGGGAGAGAUAAGGUACGAGUACAGCGCAACCACGUUGAUGGGUUUCAGUUCCGUCUCAAGAAUGGGCUAAUGAGCAUGGAGAUUGGUCAUACGGACAGUAUUUCCUUAAUUGUGAUGCAUGAAGGAAAAAUGCCAAAGUUUCUUGGGGGACCAUGAGCUGAACUAACAUGUAUGACAAAUGCAUGUAAAACUAGGUGUCAUACCUGAUUCCACGCGACCUGGUGGUGCAGUAGAGAGAACAAAAAUAUGGCGCCAAAGCU
Long non-coding RNA from Lolium rigidum, 703 nucleotides. RefSeq lists it as uncharacterized. The transcript is spliced from 4 exons. The record is from RefSeq and is a predicted model, not a curated record. NCBI's taxonomy places the organism in Eukaryota, Viridiplantae, Streptophyta, Magnoliopsida, Poales, Poaceae.